GACGAACGCUGGCGGCGUGCUGAACACAUGCAAGUCGAACGGAAAGGCCCUGCUUUUGUGGGGUGCUCGCAUGGCGAACGUGUGCGUAACACGUGAGUAACCUGCCCUUGACUUUGGUUUAACUUCAGGUAACUGGGGCUAAUACCGGAUAGGAGCUCCUGCUGCAUGGUGGGGGUGGGAAAGUUUCGGCGGUUGGGGAUGGACUCGCGGCUUAUCAGCUUGUUGGUGGGGUAGUGGCUUACCAAGGCUUUGCCGGGUAGCCGGCCGGAGAGGGUGACCGGCCACGUGGGGACUGAGGUACGGCCCAGUACCCACCGGGGGGCAGCAGUGGGGAAUAGUGGCAAGUGGGCGGACGCCUGAUGUAGCAACCUGGCGUGCCGGAUGACUGCCUUCUGUUGGUAUUCCGCCUUCGCUUGUGCCGCAGCGAAAGCGACGUCCACGGCUAUAGAAGCACCGGCUCACUACGUG
This 468-nucleotide ribosomal RNA is filed under the name uncultured bacterium. RNAcentral's name for it is "partial 16S ribosomal RNA". It matches the Rfam family "Bacterial small subunit ribosomal RNA", at positions 28 to 507 of the family's 1533-position model. The record is from RNAcentral.